GACGAACGCUGGCGGCGUGCUUAACACAUGCAAGUCGAACGGAAAGGCCCUGCUUUUGUGGGGUGCUCGAGUGGCGAACGGGUGAGUAACCCGUGAGUUACCUGCCCUUGACUUUGGGAUAACUUCAGGAAACUGGGGCUAAUACCGGAUAGGAGCUCCUGCUGCAUGGUGGGGGUUGGAAAGUUUCGGCGGUUGGGGAUGGACUCGCGGCUUAUCAGCUUGUUGGUGGGGUAGUGGCUUACCAAGGCGUUGACGGGUAGCCGGCCUGAGAGGGUGACCGGCCACAUUGGGACUGAGAUACGGCCCAGACUCCGACGGGAGGCAGCAGUGGGGAAUAGUGCACAAUGGGCGGAAGGCUGAUGCAGCAACGCCGCGUGCGGGAUGACGGCCUUCGGGUUGUAAACCGCGUUCGCCUGUGACGAAGCGUGAGUGACGGUAAUGGGUAAAGAAGCACCGGCUAACUACGUG
RNAcentral lists this ribosomal RNA (468 nucleotides) under uncultured bacterium. RNAcentral's name for it is "partial 16S ribosomal RNA". It matches the Rfam family "Bacterial small subunit ribosomal RNA", at positions 28 to 507 of the family's 1533-position model. The record is from RNAcentral.